Molecule: ribosomal RNA, 720 nt
Filed under: uncultured bacterium
Lineage: Bacteria
Description: bacterial SSU rRNA
Rfam family: Bacterial small subunit ribosomal RNA
Source: RNAcentral
UUCGAGAAAUCGGAGUUAAUACUGCAUUCGUCCCUUCGGGGAGAAAGAUGGCCUCUUUGCUGUCGCUGAUUGAUGAGCUUACGUACUAUUAGCUAGUUGGUAGGGUAAAGGCCUACCAAGGCGAUGAUGGUUAGCCGGCCUGAGAGGGUGUACGGCCACACUGGAACUUAGACACGGUCCAGACUCCUACGGGAGGCAGCAGUGAGGAGUCUUGCACAAUGGGCGAAAGCCUGAUGCAGCGACGCCGCGUGGAGGAUGAAGGUCUUCGGAUUGUAAACUUCUGUUAAGUGGGACGAAAGACGCAGCUUUAAUACAGUUGCGGGAUGACGGUACCAUUAGAGAAAGCACCGGCUAACUUCGUGCCAGCAGCCGCGGUAAUACGAAGGGUGCAAGCGUUAUUCGGAAUGAUUGGGCGUAAAGGGUGCGCAGACGGUCCACUAAGUCAACUGUUAAAUUUCCCAGCCUAACUGGGAGCUCGCAGUAGAAACUGAUGGACUAGAGGAUGGAAGAGAGAAGUGGAAUUCUCGGAGUAGCGGUAAAAUGCGUAGAUCUCGAGAGGAACACCGAUGGCGAAGGCAGCUUCUUGGUCCAUAUCUGACGUUCAUGCACGAAAGCGUGGGGAGCAAACAGGAUUAGAUACCCUGGUAGUCCACGCCGUAAACGAUGAUCACUAGACGUUAGUCGUGCUUGCAUGACUAGUGUCGUAGCUAACGCGUUAAG